Molecule: transfer RNA, 71 nt
Filed under: Pangasius djambal
Lineage: Eukaryota; Metazoa; Chordata; Actinopteri; Siluriformes; Pangasiidae
Description: tRNA-Glu
Source: RNAcentral
UCCCUGGAGGACUAGUGGUUAGGCCACAGCGCUCUCACUGCUGCGGCCGGGUUUGAUUCCUGGCCAGGGAA